CCCCCCCGAGUGUAAUCGCCCGCCUCUUUGACAUCAUCGCUCCAGCCAGCCUUGGAGGGGACAUCUUGAGCCUCUCCUCUCGAAAGACCACUGCGCUCCAUUUCUCUGACAACUCGCCCCCCUCCCUCCUCUCAUAACCUUUACAGAAUCAGCCCUCGCGGACAAAAGGCUCCACGUUGCGAAGGAGUGACAACAAACCAAGCCUCUCUCUCUCCCCCUCCCCUCGCCAUUGUGCGCUGUGACACGGCCGCACGCGCGACAGAAGAGCGACUAAUCCGCUUUCUGUCCCCACUCCCCAUCAAAGAGUGCAACCACGUGGCUCCUCCGUGUCCUUGAAGAGCGGCGCUCGUGUGAUUAACCCCUUCCACGCGGGGGAGGCACACAGACACAGAGCGCGCUGAUAAGCUGUUAGGAAUUGUGGGAGUUGAAGUCCAAAACACCUGGAGGGAGGGCCCAAGUUUGCCCAUGCCUGAGUGCCCCUCCACAAUGAGUGCACCCUGAGAGACAUGCAAUUGGGUUGCUGUGAGUUUUCCGCGCUGUAUGACCAUGUUCCAGAAGCAUUCUCUCCUGACGUUUCGCCUACAUCGAUGGCAGGCAUCCUCAGAGGUUGUGAGAUCUGUUGGAAACUAGGCGAGGGAGGUGUAAUAUAUCUGUGGAAGGUCCAGGGUGGGAGAAAGAACUCAGGCCACCUUGAUUAGCAUACAGUUUCGAGGCCUGGCUGCUUUUUUUUUUCCGUGUCAGGAGCAACCGGAGUUGCUUCUGGAGUGAGAGAAUAGGCCGUCUGCAAGGACGUUGCCCAGGGGACGCCCGGAUAUUUUUUGAUGUUUUACCAUCCUUGUGGUAGGCUUCUCUCAUGUCCCCGCAUGGAGCUGGAGCUGAUAGAGGGAGCUCAUCCGUGCUCUCCCCGGGUGGGAUUCGAACCUGGCAGCUUUCAGGUCAGCAACCCAACCUUCAAGUCACAAGGCUUUUAUCCCCUAGGCCACCGGAGGCUCCUGCCUGGCUGCUUACUGCCUGGGGGAAUCCUUUGUUGGGAGGGGUUAGCUGGCCCUGAUUGUUUCGUGUCUGGAAACAGGCAGGAAGCAGCCAGGGUUUGAAACUGCAAGGUCAUUCAGUGCUAAUCAAGGUGGCCAAUUGCAACACUCACACUUGCCUCAAACAGACGAAAAGUUCUUUCUCCCAACCUGGACCUUCCACAGAUAUAUAAACUUCCCUUGCUUAGUUUCCAAUACAAGUAUACCUCUGAGGAUGCCUGGCAUAGAUGUGGACAAAACGUUCCGGAACAAGGCCAUACAGCCCGGGAAACUCACAGCAACCCAAUGAUUCCGGCCAUGAAAGCCAUCGACAAGACAUGAAAUUGUAAUUCUACACACACUCCUUGUUAUAUGCCUGUUUCUUCUGUAAACGGGCAUUGAAAUAGAUCUCCCAUCCCCUCCCGAAGCUGUAUUUAUCAGCUGUCAACGGGCGGGGUGUGUGCGUGGCUUUCUCUUCCUCCAGAAAGGCCUGCCUCUGGGCGAGGGACUCCUGGCGGCGCGCCUCCCGCCUCCGCUCCCCAGGAAAAGCGGCGCCCCAGGUGCCUGACUGACUGACUGACUGCCUGGCUGCGCGGCGCUUCUUGGGAAACCGGGAAUUUAAAUAUCAAGGCCACCCACGUGACUCCUCCUGGCGCUGCUUGUAUUGACAAGGCCCUUCUGACGUCACCCGCCGCCGCCGCUCUUCCUCAACCGGACAAGUGGAGUGUUGCGCCGCCCGCCAAGAGGCGGCGCCCAACCCGGCCACUGUAUAGUAGAGUGCGUAUAUCAAUGUGUAGCUCUGGAAGCUUUAUAUGCUGCUCACCAGCCAAGUACCUCAGUGUGCAAGAUAGAGAGGAGAGGAAAAUGAUUGAUGAUGACUUCACCCUCUUGCUGCUAAGGAUGUAAAACACUAGGAAAGCAAACUGGUGACCUGGAAAACAAGCUCAGAUUAAGAAAUGUCAGAUACUGAGUACAGAAGGAAAUGUAAUCUUUGCAAUAGAAGAGCCUCAGAUAACAAAACGGAUAUCGUUUUUGAAAGAAUAAGGUAACAGUAUAAUAGCUUUUUCUAAAAAAGAAGAGAUAAAAAGGGUGUUUUGUCCUGGCUUCUUUUCAAGUUGCUUGCUUUCUGCAGUUUUCCCCAUAGGAGAAAUAGGAGCCAAGUUUGUUCCUUUAUGUAAAAAAGCUUGUGAAUUUAAACUCACUUAAUUGAGUUGUAGGCCAGUUAAUAUAUCUGUAAAAAACAUUGGCUGCAUUAUGAACAGAACUUUAAAAAGAUUCUUUUAAAAAGCCUCACAAAACUGGAUAUGUUAGUUGAGGCAUUCUGGGAAUUACAAAUAAGUAAUUUUCUCAAGUAUUCUUUAGGUCAGUGGUUCUCAACCUGUGGGUCCCCAGAUGCUUUGGCCUUCAACUCCCAGAAAUCCUAACACCGGGUAAAUUGGCUGGGAUUUCUGGGAGUUAUAGGCCAAAACAUAUGGGAAACCGUAGGUUGAGAACUACCGCUUUAAGUGCUAUUUUGGCAAAAUCACAUCUCUGUUUUUACUCCCCCAGUUUGCCGGAAUAAAAAGGGCUACUUGUUCUUAUAGAAACCUGUAUGUGCACUGAUAGACAAAGAAGUUAAAAAACAUAAUGCAAGGUCAAGAAUGUGUUCUCUUUUCCUUGGUAACUUUGCCUGCCCCUUUACUUUAGAUGUUAAACUGUUCGUUCUAAAAACUUAGUUUUCUCUAUACUCUCUGGUGUUUUAAGUUGUUUUAAGACUUUGUUUCAUCAAGUUAUCCCAAUGACCCUUUUUUUGUGUUUUCCGGACUGUUUCUUUGUGUUUGCUUGGACUGGACAUUAAGUCAAUCAUGGAACUAUUUGGAUUUUGCAUGAACACAUUCCUGGACUCGCAUCUCUCAAUGGAUUUGGACUUUAAAGCUACCAACCACAAGAGGAACCUUCUUCAGCUGGUGACAUCAAGAAGGUUCCCCAACCAACAGCAGCCUGGAUCGAAGCUGGGACAGCUUUUUCUUCAAUGAGGGGAGGGUGCAGUUACCUUACAGGCAAUAGCUUUCGUCAUCAACACAGUAUCUGAAUUAGUUGGUCAACAGGAAGAUUCUUGCUGUGAGAUGGAGACACAGCUGGUGUUGUUCCUCCUUUUACCAAAAGCAGCCUGCAGUUCUUUUGUCCGGGUCCAUUCCCUCUUCCAUGCUCUUUCGUUGCCUUAGCUCUUCAACCUUCCAACUCAAUGUCACUUUCAAUCUAAACAAACCUUACGAAUGAAAUAUCCUGUUUCAAUCAUCCAGGAUACAAACAUCCUGUUAUUAAUUGAAGGAACCUUACCUUGAAGGAACUGGGGGUGGUGACGGCCGACAGGGAGCUCUGGCGUGGACUGGUCCAUGAAGAGUCGAAAAUGACUGAAUGAGUGAAACGACAACGUUAUUAAUUGCUUGGUUAAGAGUUUGAAAACUCAGAGCUAUAGAUUACCAGGAUAUGGACCUCUUCAUAUGAGGCUUUUUGUGCUCUUUUUUCUUCUUUUAGACUAGGCCUGCCAAGUAUCAUGAGAUGAUGCUGAUUUGGCUCUGUUUACGUUCCUCCCGAAGUGGAGGGGAAGCGUUCUAUCCUUUUCCCCAUAUGAUGGAGGAAUGGGUGAUAGGGCAAUGCGUGUUGCCACCCUGUCUCCCAUAUGAUGGGGACAGGGGCAGGAUGCCAACACGCCUUGUCCCGUCCUCAUCAUAGGGGAAGGAGGGAGGGUAUGUGGGGCUCUACCAGGCACCCCGUUCACCUUCACUUUCGCUGGUGACUGCUUGGUGAAAUGGCACAGCCCUGGGGUGGGGGGGGGGGGGUUAAGAGGUCCUGAGUCUUCUUAUUGUGGCUGUUGUUACCAUUGUUGUGUGCCUUCAAGUUGUUCCUAACAUACAGUAACCCUAUUUACAUUUAAUUCUGUCUUCUUCUUGCCUUUUACUUUGCCUUUUCUAUUGUCUUUUCUAAUGAGAUAUGUCAUCUCCUGGUAAGUCCGCAGUACAGUAGUCUCCAUUUAGUAAUGUAGGGAGAGUGCAGGUUUGAUUUGAGCCCAUUGUAUUUACAGAACUCUCUUCCAGUAGAGCUUACUCCAGUAUAAAUGGGUAGUGGCAGUCUGCAGUUCUAUACUGACUUAUCUUGGAGUAAGGCCUGACUCAACUAAAUACGACCUCUGGCAUCCAUAAGAUUGCAACAGAAAUGACCAGAAACCUUCCUUUGUAAAUAGGGAUGGGGCAUGCAUUGCUCUCCAGAUGGAUGCUGGACGCCUCUGUCAGAUCUCCUAGCCAAUAUGACCAAUUGUCAGGCAGUGACAAUUCAGCAGUCACUGCUUCCCCAUUUCCGCUUGGUAACAUUAAAUUUAAUGGACUGGGAGGAUCUAGGAGAUGAAGGGCAGUGAAGCCCUUUGAAUUAUAAUUUGCGAUUGAUAGUAUUAAACCUAACAUGAAAAGAAAAAAAGAAUUGGAAUCAUGGCUAGACCAGAUAAUUUAGUACCAAAGAAUAUUGAAAAUGUAUAUAACCACUUGCUGUGAAACAAUGAUCUUCCUAAGGGCAUUUCCCCUUGGUUUUAUAGCAAGUUGUCAGUUCUUUUGAUUCAAACAUGAUGUCAUUUAUAACACUGAAUUUUAAGAUACAUAUAUAUCAAAUCUUCAGGAAAAUAGUCCCUGCUGAUUUAUCACACUUGACCAAGUUGACAGUUUUAGAUAAACCAAUAGCGCAAGAUGAAGAAUUAUGCGGAUCAAGACUAAUACCCUGCCGUUGGGUGGUACCACGCAGCCCAAAAGCUGAGAAAUACCAGCCACUAGUGCUCCUUUCAUUCUCUACAUUCCUUCUGCCUGCCUUACCCACCCUUUUAAAAAAAAUUAGGGUGUUCCCAUUAGUCUUAUUAACAAAAAUGGUACAGAAUUUCUGAGGAAACGAAGAGUAAAAAAUAUAUGAUCAUAUCUAGUUGCAAUUUUAGACAAGGCUUUUACACUACUAUUUUUCUGUGGGUGCUGGUUUUUCAUUCAACCUUCACAAGUUGUUAUAUUCAGCUCCUUUUCAGAUUGUCAUUAAAUUGAUUUUAUGAUACGAGUUCUUUUAAGAAUAAAGCCUGUGGUUUUUCAUCCCUUUUAAAGGAGACAUGAAUUAAAGAGGCUAGCAAAAACACUUUGGAAGAAAAGCUUUUUCUGCUGUUUCAGAGGGCCAUGAUUCUGACUGUCCUCUCCCCACUCCUGUUUCUUUUGGGAAAGGCACAGAGGUAUCAAUAACAAGUCUCAUAUUUGUUUUACAACAAGAUAGAAAAGAGGGUGGGCUGUUUAUAAAUCACAGUUAUCGGGUGCUUGUUUGUUGUUGUGUGCUUUCCAGUCAUUUCUGACUUAAGGCAACCUUAAGGUGUACCUAUCACAGGUAAGAUUUGUUCAGAGAGGAAGCUGCCAUUACUUUCUUCUCAAGCUGAGAGAGUGGGACUUACCCACGCACAGUGGGUCAACCAAGUAUAAAGCUGUAGUUCAAAGCACUGAUUAAUACUGUACAAGGUAAAAUGGGAGGGACAGUUAGAGGGCAGCAGCCCCCAUUCUUGCUUUUAUGGAUAUUUCCUUCUUGGGAAAAGACACCCAAAAAUCUAGUACAAGUGUCCUCAAGCUUUUUAGGCAGGGGGCCAGCUCGCGGUCCCUCAGACUGUAAGUGGAGGAGGGACGGACUAUAGUUUGAAAAAGAAAAUGAAUGAAUUCCUAUGCACACUGCACAUAUCUUAUUUGUAGUGCAAAAAAAUAUAUGAAAGAACAAUACUAUAUUUAAAAUGAAGAACAAUGUUAACCAACAUAAUUUUGCCAGUAUUUUAAUGGGAAGUGUGGAUUUGCUUUUAGCUGAUGAGGUUUUUUUUAUCGUGUCAGAAGUUGCUUCUGGUGUGAGAGAAUUGGCCAACUACAGAGAUGUUGCCCAGGGGACGGCCAGAUGUGUUAGCUGGGAGGCUUCUUUCAUGUCCCCGAUUCGAACCAGCAACCUUCACGUCAGCAACCCAAUCUUCAGGGCCAGCAGUUCAGCCGGCACCAGGGUUUAACCCAUUGAGCCACCGCAGCUGAUGAGAGUGUCAAGUUAAUUAGGACUGUUGUUGUUCUGCACCUUCAAGUCGUUUCAGACUAAGGGCAACCUUAAGUUUAAAGCUUAGGGUGAGGCCCAGGUAAAUGACCUGGAGGGCCUCCAGCCCGCAGGCCUUAGUUUGGGGCCCCCUGAUCUAGUAGGUGAAGGGAGAAAGAGGAGGAAUUUCACCUUACACACACAGCACUACAUCCCAUCUCAUUCCACAGAUGUGAGCAGAACGUGACAGUGCAUGUAUAAGAGAAAAAAUGUGUAGAAAGUAGAAACAUUAACAACCUUCAGUAUGCAGAUGAUACCACUCUGAUGGCUGAAAGUGAGGAGGAGCUGAGGAGCCUUAUCACCAAGGUGAAAGAACAAAGUGCAAAAGCUGGGUUGCAGUUAAGCAUCAAGAAAACCAAGAUCAUGGCAACCACACUGAUUGAUAACUGGAAAAUUAGAGGGAGAAAACGUGGAGGCAAUGACAGACUUUAUAUUUCUAGGCACGAAGAUCACUGCAGAUGCAGACUGCAGCUAGAAAAUCAGAAGAUGUCUACUUCUUGGGAGGAGAGCAAUGACCAACCUCAAUAAAAUAGCGAAGAGCAGGGACAUCACACUGGCAACGAAGGUCCGCAUAAUUAAAGCAAUAGUAUUCCCCAUAAUAACCUAUGGAUGCGAGAGCUGGACCAUAAGGAAGGCUGAGCAAAGGAAGAUUGAACUUUGGUGAUGGAGGAAAAUUCUGAGAGUGCCUUGGACCGCAAGAAGAUCCAACCAGUCCAUCCUCCAGGAAAUAAUGCCCAGCUGCUCGCUUGAGAGAAGGAUAUUAGAGGCAAAAAUGAAGUACUUUGGCCACAAAAUGAGACAGGCAAGCUUGGAGAAGAUAAUGAUGCUGGGGAAAAUGGAAGGAAAAAGGAAGAGGGGCCGACCAAGGGCAAGAUGGAUGGAUGGUAUCCUUGAAGUGACUGGCUUGACCUUGAAGGAGCUGGGGCGGCGAUGGCCAACAGGAAACUCUGGCGUGGACUGGUCUAUGAGGUCACGAAGAGUUGGUAGCGACUGAACGAAUAAACAACAACAACACACUGCCAUAUAAUCCAGUUCAAAGCAGAUAAUCUGGAUUCAGAAACUGGAUUAUAUGGCAGUUUUCUUCUAAAAGUUGGGUUGAAAUGGAUCCAGAAAACAUUUCAGUGUAAAAGUGAAAGCAUUGGUAAUUGUCAUCUCCAUCAAGUAUCUAAUUCCACUAGAUGAUCAACUAUCUACAAGCAAAAAAGCCUAUGGGAUGAAAGAAUUAUCUGUAGUGAUAAUGCUUGUGGCAACAGUUGUUGGAGGGUGGAACAGUGGCUAUGCCUUCAGACCCCUUCAGGCAUUCCCUUCUCUUAACUUCUGAGUGUAAAAAAAUAAAAAUAAAGUAGAUAUAUAGUUUAAAAAUUAACCAUAGUCACCAAAACACAACUGCUGUCACCUUAUGGACCACAAAGCAGGCCACAAUGGUGCUAAAACAAAACAAAAAAAAACACAACUUAGUAGUUGCUUCUGUGAACUUCUCUGUCUUAAUUGUUAGCCCCAGACAUAGAGUUGCCAUUUUUAAUACUAGAAAUUGCCCAAGAUGCUGUUCAUACUUUCUCUUUUCUUAAGCCAUUGUGUCCCUGUAAUAGAAGCAAGGUGUUAUUGGUUUCCAUAAUUAAAUCAUAUAGGCUAAUUGUUGAAUUACUUAAGACAGUUAAAUCUUUUAAUCCAUCCUAAGGAAAUGCAACUCACUCCCUUCAGGUGAACUGCCACUGAAUGACAUGAGGAGAAGAAAUAUACACUUCUGCAGAUAAUGAAAAGUGACUCUUUAAUUUUCACUUUAACCUCAACCACCCAGACACACUAUUUGUGGAGCUUCAUCAGCACUUUUGUGAGCAAUAGUCACCCAAAUAACAUUUCACUAUUAUAAGCUUUUUCCCUCUGUCCCCAAGGCAUGAUACCUUCAUUUUCUGCCCUUUUUCUCAAUAAAAUUGAUGUUUAAUAAAUCCCCAGUUUUCCCAGUGAGACUUGUAAGAUGUCAAUGUGCCUUUUCUUGCCCCCAUGUAAUUUCCCUUUGUUUCCUGUGUUUGCAUUCUUCGCAGUCCUCUCUUGUUUCGCCCACAGUAUCUGCUUUCAAAGUAUUCUUUUGAACUUCUGUGCAAAAGUAGGAACAUUCCACUAUUUCAUUCCCACUAUGAAAAUAAUAUUUUAGGCAUUUUCCCUGAUUCCAUGAGAAUGAAGAUUUCCACAGAAUUUUCAAGCACUCUUUGUACAUCAGUUAUGAUUCCAUAACCUUGAGCCACGGCAGUCAAAAUGAUGACAGACUUCAUUAAUUCUACAAUGUAGAUGUAUCUAGAUCAAAAAGUGGUGUCAAACUGCACUAUUUCCAGUGUAGAUGCACCUCUGGAAACUAUUAAAAUACACCAAUCUAGUCACAAAUGUGUCCACAUACUAUUUCUACACCCACCCAGCCCAGCCACCCUGCUAUUAAAAACAGUGACACAACAAAGCUGGACUGAAAGUCAGCCAAAGCGACAUUUGAAAGUGACAUUACAUGACAAUGCAAUCCAAUGAAGCCAUGUGUGGAUUUUUUUUUUGGAAUUUGGGGGCUGGUUAUUUUUGUCUUCUUUUCAGCUUCUCACAGCAUUGAAUAUUUUCUGAUAUCUGUUGUAAACUGCCCUGAGUCCCCUCAAGGAGAUAGGACGGGAUAUAAAUACAUAAAUCAAUCAAUCAAUAAAUAAAUAGGAAAUAUUAUGUUGCAACACACUAGAAAACAUCUGGGGACCCAAUGGCCUUUGUCUACUCCUCAGUUGCCCACCUGUUUUAGAUAAUAAUUGGAAUAAUUUCAAUGCUAAAGUUUAUCCAUUUUACUAUAUAACAUGCAGAAGUUAUUGUUUAUUUGAACUGUUUUUUAACCACAAAAUAUGGAGUACAAUUUUAUGGGAUGAUGUUACCAUCCUCCUACAGCAAUCUUUAUGGGUUCUGACAGAUUAAUGAUGUUGACAGAAAAUGUUAUCAAAUCCAGCUUGUAAAAGGGCCUGCUGAAGAUGUAGGAUUAUUGAUCAGUUGUUUCCUAUAAAAUUGUUACCCACAGGCUACAAAAUGAGAAAGUUCUGCCAUAGCAUAAAUUAUACAUUGGUGGUUUUGAUGCCAUUACCUAUGUAAUUUUUUUUGUGUCAGGACCAAAUUGAGAAACUGCAAGUCGUUUCUGGUGUGAGAGAAUUGGCCAUCUGCAAGGACGUUGCUCAGGGGACGUCCUGAUGUUUUGAUGUUUGUAAUAUAAAAUCAUAUGGAUUUCCUCAACAAAUAACCAAAUAAUAAAAGACUGCAUUUUCAAAUGCUCAGAAUUGUAUUUUCAGAGAGAUAUAUACAAUGCUUUGUGAUAAAUGUGAUGUGCUAUAACAAACUAGAAUAUGAAAAAGCCAUUUUAUAUUUCCUUUUAGUGGCUGAAAUAGCAAUGUGCAUUUGCUGCAAAGUUUGUUGUGUCCAACCUGUUACCCUGUUCAGAUAUGCAGCACCGUCUGACAGUUUUCACUUCAAGUUAUAAAUUUCCCUCUUCUUUUUCUGUAUCUUGCCUAUGUGAAUUGCUAUCCACUGGCUUUGGUGGUGGCUGUUGUCAAAGUCAUUUCAAGUCCAAACAACAUAAAAUCCAUCACAGCAUUCUUUCCAACAUCUCUUGUUAUGUGUUUUGACUAACUCAGAGUCCUAAUGUAUAUACUCAUAUAUUGUUAUGAUUGAGCCUCAUGGCUCUGUUACUGACAGACGUGGGCGUAAGACUCCUCGAGAGUCAGAUACUCUCGAGGAGCGAGAAAGAAAAAGACUGCGAGACAUUUUUGCAGCACCAUCUGACGAAGAGUCUUUUGAGGGGUUUACGGAGAGAAUGGAGGAGGGGCUGGUUAGCUCGGAGGAGGAUGAGAUGGAUUGGACUCGGGUGAGGGAGGAAUUGGGUGCCACUGGCCAUGAUGGGAUAGAAGAUGAAUGGGGACCUUCAGGAUUAGACCCAUGGUCUAGCUGGAGGGAUGGGACGGGAUCCACAGCUGGAGAUGCUGUGGGGCGUAGUCAGAGGUGUUCCAGCUCUGAUGAGGAAAGUGAUGAGGAAACGCCCGGGUUAAGGAGGACAGCUGACAGUGAUGAGGAUUUGUAACUGGCAUAAAAUGGGGCUUGGGAGCAAUUGCAAAUUGCGUUGGGCAAGGUAAUCUGGACGAACGCUUGGGAUCUGUGUGGGACGCUUUCCUGAAGACUGGUGUGUUUUCGUGUGCUGAUACGUAAGUUGUUUUGGAAUUCAGGGUCAGACGGCGGGAGGAAUUGUGUGGGCAUUUGUUUGUGCAAACCUGUGCUUACUCUUAUUAGCUUGACCUUCCGUCGUCUUCUUGACGGACGCCAUCUCCUGCUUUGAAAUUCGGACUGAACUGACCACGGCUUGACUUCCCCCUUCUUGGACUUGGAAACUACAAACGUCUGCUUCUGGCUUUGAUCUACGGAAAGGAACUGGGUCUACUCUACUGCUACAAUCCUUGGCUGAUCUGUUCGUGUUGGAAAUCCUGUCUGCUGUGUGUGUGGGAGCGACGCAAGUUACUCUAAGCACAGUGUUGGCAGCAGAGAGGAAUCUGCUGCCAAUUAGUUGCAUUCUUUUGUAUCUUUUGUUCCUUGGCUUUUGUUUUGUUUAUCCCCAGGCUGAAGCAAGCAGUUUGUUUUUACCCAGAUUAAACUCCGGUUUAAUCCGGUUUAUCUUUUGAACGUUUUUCCUUGUCCCUUUUUGCUCCUAAAGGCUAAUACUGCCUGGCCCUUGUAUUUUACGGGCAUUUUUGAGUUCUGUAAUCCAAUAAACUCUGUUAACUUUGAUCUUGUGGCGUUCUGUCCUUGACAGAUUGCCCAACGCCAUAAAAAGUUUAUUGCAGUAAUAAACCCGUCAGGAAGACGAUGGAGGAGUUAAGGGCCAAAUUUGAGCAAUUACAAACGGCUUUUACCGUCAGUCAAGCAGCUCAUGCUGUGAAAGGACAUGUUUUGACUCCUGAACGCUUUGACGGAACCAGGUGCAAGUUGCCAACCUUUUUGGCACAAGUGGAGCUUUAUUUUUCCCAGCUCAGUGCUCAUGCUUUUCCUACAGACGCUAGCAAGGUGGCAUUUAUUUUGAGUUUGUUGACCGGUCCCGCAGGACAAUGGGCCACUAAUUUAAUUUUGGGAAAUGACCCAGUCAAGGACAAUUUGAAUAAUUUCAAAAAGUUAUUAACUGACACUUUUGGGGAUCCUCUCCGCACGGAGAAUGCUGGGUGGGCUCUGUAUCGGUUGAAACAGGGAAAGGGGACUGUUUUGGAUUACUUAAAUAAGUUUAACCUGUAUCGCCACCAGCUGGAUUGGGGGGAAAAUGCAUUCAUGCUUUUAUUUACUGCUGGGUUAAGUGAUAUGCUCCAGGAUGAAUUAGCACGCUUGGAGCCGGCUGAAAAUUGGGACGCCUUAGUAGCUAAGGUGCUGCGUUUAGACGCAAGGUUCGAGGCUCGUAAACACUCGAAAGCAAUGUGUGCGCCACCCAUGCAUGUUACCAGGGCACCUGUGGUGAUGGGGGAAGAGCCUAUGGAGCUUGGGGUCUUUAAAAAGCUGUCUACAGAGGAAAAGAGCCGUAGGAGGCAGCUGGGGUUGUGUUUGUACUGUGGGAAUGCUGGGCAUUUUGCCAAAAACUGUAAUGUGAAACCUUCUCAGCUUUCGGGAAAAGGCCAGCCCUAGUGCGACGUGAGUCCAACGCACUAGGGCUCCUCAAGCAGUCAACUGAGGGGAGGAAGCAUGUUUUCGUACCCAUUACAUUAUCUGUUGGGGGAAGGGAACUUGUUUCUACUUUGGCACUGCUGGACUCAGGGGCUACGGUCUCUUAUGUAGAUAUUGAGUUUGCUAAGAAGCAUGGCAUUCCUAGAGUGCGCAAGGCAUGCGACGUGUGGGUGGAAGGAGCAGAUGGGAGACUGCUGGAGACUGGGGUGGUUAACCAUGAAACCUCAGCAGUAAUGUGGGAAGUGCAGGGAGUAACGGGAACGUUUGUGUGGGAUAUUACGAGCUUGCCUAGAUAUGAUGUGAUUCUGGGGAUGGAUUGGCUAGCUGUAGUAAACCCACAAGUAGAUUGGGCGACACGUAAAUUGACCUUAAAGAGGCAGGAUUGUUGCACUCUGAAUGUUACUCAAUCUGAUAUGGAGGGAGUGCCUGCUGAGUAUGGGGAGUUCUCUGAUGUAUUUUGUAAAAGAGAAGCGGACAAAUUACCACCGCACAGGCCAUAUGAUUGCGCCAUUAAGCUAGCAGAAGGUGCGAAAUUGCCAGCAGGAAGGCUGUAUGCCUUGACUGUACCGGAAAGGCAAGCUUUGCGGGAGUUUCUAGAUGAAAAUUUAGCCAAGGGGUUUAUUCGCCCAUCUAGCUCUCCAACUGCGGCACCAGUAUUCUUUGUAGCCAAAAAGACUGGGGAACUUAGGCUGGUCUGCGACUAUCGGAUCCUAAACAAAUACACCAUUCGGGAUAGGUACCCGCUACCUUUAAUCUCGGAACUGUUAUCAAGGGUGCAAGGGGCUAAGGUCUUUACCAAGCUUGACCUGCGGGGGGCAUAUAACUUAAUCCGUAUACGGGAAGGUGAUGAAUGGAAGACGGCAUUUAACACGUGUUUCGGAUGCCACGAGUUCCGAGUCAUGCCUUUCGGACUUUGCAAUGCUCCUGCGGUCUUCCAGAGGUUCAUGAAUGAUGUGUUCAGGGACCUAAUUGACCAAUUUUUAGUGAUUUAUUUGGAUGAUAUCUUGAUUUUUUCUAAGGACGAGAAAGAACAUCGUCAACAUGUCAAGCAGGUUCUGCACCGUCUGCGGGCUAAUGGGCUUUUCGUCAAGGCUUCCAAGUGCGUCUUUCAUGUGCCUGAAGUGGAGUUCCUAGGUCAUGUAGUGUCAGGUAGGGAACUUAAAAUGGACCCACAUAAGGUUGACGCCGUCAACUCAUGGCAGGAGCUUAAGACUAAGAAGGAUGUACAACGGUUCUUAGGUUUCGCUAAUUACUACCGGGAGUUUAUUCUGAAUUUUGCAAAGCUCACGGUACCUUUGACGCAGCUCCUGCGUAAGAAACAGCCAUUUGUGUGGGGGCGGGAAGCUCACGAUGCGUUUUUACAACUUAAGUCUAGUUUUCAAUCGGACAACAUACUAACACAUCCUGAUGUUGACAAACCGUUCGUGGUAGAAGCGGACGCUUCUAGCUACGCGUUGGGGGCUGUAUUGUCUCAGAAGGAUUCCUCGGGGACCUUGCGUCCCUGUGGAUUUUACUCACGGCAACUAACACCCUUCGAGCAGAACUAUACCAUAUGGGAGAAGGAGUUGUUGGCGAUUAAGGUGGCGUUUGAGGUGUGGCGGCACUGGCUUGAAGGGGCACGGCACCAGAUCGUGGUCAGAUCUGAUCACAAGAAUUUAGAGCACUUGCAAACAGCAAAAAAGUUAAACCAGCGUCAAAUCCGAUGGGCUUUGUUUUUCUCCAGGUUUAACUUCAAGGUGCAGUUCGUGGAGGGGAAGGCAAACUUGCGGGCCGAUGCUUUAUCCCGCAAGCCGGAGUUUAAGACCAAUGAGCAGGUAGUAUGUCAGACCAUCUUGCCUACUGCCUCUCUAUGUGUUGUAGAUAAUGAGCUCGGGUUACAUGACCAGAUCCUUGAGGCUCAGAGGGAUGAUGUGUGGACUCAGGAGCAACUGAUGCUGCUAUCAGCAGGUAACCGUACAAUACUGCCGCAUCUACAAGAUCAAGACGGAGUAUUGGUACGCAGGGGGCAGGUCUACGUACCAGUGGGGGCCCUCAGGUUGGAGGUGAUUAGAGCUCACCAUGACGAACCCAUGGCUGGGCACUUUGGCAGGUUCAAGACCGUACAGCUUAUCACCAGGAGCUACUGGUGGCCAAAGAUGCGGCAAGACAUUCUGCGCUUUUGUAACAGCUGCGCUGUUUGCCAGCAGAGUAAGACGCCUGUUGGGCGCCCUAGAGGGUUGUUGUCGUCUCUACCUGUUCCUGAGAGGCCAUGGCAAAUCAUUUCCAUGGAUUUUAUUUCGGAUUUGCCUAAGUCUGGGGGGUAUACUUGUAUUUGGGUGGUGGUGGAUUUAUUUAGCAAACUGGCUCAUUUUAUUCCUUGUUCAACCAUUCCGGCGGCCCCUACGUUGGCCUUACUAUUUACUAAGCACAUCUAUCGUUUGCACGGAGCACCCGAAGUGAUUAUUUCGGAUAGGGCUCCGCAAUUUGUGUCACGCUUUUGGAAACACUUCCAUGAGUGCUUAGGGACUAAGUUAAACGUUUCUUCAGCCUUUCAUCCGCAAACGGAUGGACAGUCGGAACGGGUUAAUGGGCUCUUAGAGCAGUAUUUGCGUUGUUUUUGUUUAGAUCAACCCACGGCUUGGGUGAAGUGGUUACCGGUGGCGGAGUUUGCUUACAACAAUGCGGUGCACACGUCUAGUCAGCAUACGCCAUUUGAGCUAACUUAUGGUUUUCACCCACGGGGAGGUGUGGCGCCGUCGACCAAUGUGGUCUCUUCGGACCCUGUGUACCGCUCUUCGGAAAUGGCUGCAUUGCAUGAUGUUGCCCGUCGCUUACUGUUGGAAGCUAAGGCAACGCAAAAGACUCAGGCUGACCGCCACAGGCAGGCAGGGGAGGAGUUGGAAGAAGGGGAUUUGGUGUGGUUAUCUUCCAAACAUAUUAAACAGGCUGGGGGAAAGUUUGCGCCUCGGUAUUUGGGUCCCUUUCCUAUCGUUAAAAAGAUUUCUUCCGUUGCGUUUCGUUUGCGUUUACCGUCUAGUUUAAAGGUCCAUCCAGUCUUCCAUCGUUCGCUGUUGAAACUAGAUACCUCCAGUCGUCGUGGUGCUAUAGCGGAGCGUAUCACUGCCACUUCUCCGCCAUCGGGGGAGGAGGCCUUUGUGAGAGGGGAUAGUGUUAUGAUUGAGCCUCAUGGCUCUGUUACUGACAGACGUGGGCGUAAGACUCCUCGAGAGUCAGAUACUCUCGAGGAGCGAGAAAGAAAAAGACUGCGAGACAUUUUUGCAGCACCAUCUGACGAAGAGUCUUUUGAGGGGUUUACGGAGAGAAUGGAGGAGGGGCUGGUUAGCUCGGAGGAGGAUGAGAUGGAUUGGACUCGGGUGAGGGAGGAAUUGGGUGCCACUGGCCAUGAUGGGAUAGAAGAUGAAUGGGGACCUUCAGGAUUAGACCCAUGGUCUAGCUGGAGGGAUGGGACGGGAUCCACAGCUGGAGAUGCUGUGGGGCGUAGUCAGAGGUGUUCCAGCUCUGAUGAGGAAAGUGAUGAGGAAACGCCCGGGUUAAGGAGGACAGCUGACAGUGAUGAGGAUUUGUAACUGGCAUAAAAUGGGACUUGGGAGCAAUUGCAAAUUGCGUUGGGCAAGGUAAUCUGGACGAACGCUUGGGAUCUGUGUGGGACGCUUUCCUGAAGACUGGUGUGUUUUCGUGUGCUGAUACGUAAGUUGUUUUGGAAUUCAGGGUCAGACGGCGGGAGGAAUUGUGUGGGCAUUUGUUUGUGCAAACCUGUGCUUACUCUUAUUAGCUUGACCUUCCGUCGUCUUCUUGACGGACGCCAUCUCCUGCUUUGAAAUUCGGACUGAACUGACCACGGCUUGACUUCCCCCUUCUUGGACUUGGAAACUACAAACGUCUGCUUCUGGCUUUGAUCUACGGAAAGGAACUGGGUCUACUCUACUGCUACAAUCCUUGGCUGAUCUGUUCGUGUUGGAAAUCCUGUCUGCUGUGUGUGUGGGAGCGACGCAAGUUACUCUAAGCACAGUGUUGGCAGCAGAGAGGAAUCUGCUGCCAAUUAGUUGCAUUCUUUUGUAUCUUUUGUUCCUCGGCUUUUGUUUUGUUUAUCCCCAGGCUGAAGCAAGCAGUUUGUUUUUACCCGGAUUAAACUCCGGUUUAAUCCGGUUUAUCUUUUGAACGUUUUUCCUUGUCCCUUUUUGCUCCUAAAGGCUAAUACUGCCUGGCCCUUGUAUUUUACGGGCAUUUUUGAGUUCUGUAAUCCAAUAAACUCUGUUAACUUUGAUCUUGUGGCGUUCUGUCCUUGACAUAUAUACUCAUAUUUAUUUAUUUAUUUGCAACAUUUAUAUACCUAUAAGUCAAGGGCAGGUUUGAGGACCAAAGUUAUGGAUUUUGAUAUGAUCUAUGGAUAAGUUGAGGGUCAUUCUGUGGAGAGUAGAAAGCACCAAGGCUGUCCCAGCCUGGUGCCAAUGCCACUAUUUCUCCAUCCAGGCAUUCAAAAAGGACAGAAGGGGGAUCACUAUAGAGAGGACUGAAGGGGUUGUUGCUUUUUUAAGGUUUUCAUGGGAUAGUCUCUUGUUCUUUGCCACACUAUUCAGAGAAAAGGGUAGUUCCUCUUUUUAGUAAGAUUUAAGAUACAGUAAUCACACUGACCCAGGGGUCCCCAAACUAAGGCCCGGGGGCCGGAUGCGGCCCUCCAAGGUCAUUUAUCUGGCCCCCACCCUCAGUUUUAUAAUAUAAUAUUUUAUAUCAUUUUAAUAAUAUUAUAUAUUGUAUAUACAUAUAAUAUUGAUAAUAAUACCAUAUAAUAAUAUUAAUUAUAUGUUAUAUAUUACAUAUAAUAUUACAGUAUAGUGGUAUAGUUCAAUAUAGUAAUAUAUAAUGUUAAUAUUGUGCUAUGCUAAUAAUAUAAUAUAUUGUGUGUACAUACAGCUGCUCUGAGUCUCCUUCAAGGUGAGAAGGGCAGGAUAUAAAUGUAAUAAAUAAAUGUAGUAAAUGAAUAAAUAAAUAAUUUUAGACUUAGGCUCGCCCAAAGUCUGAAAUGACUUGAAGGCACACAACAACAACAAUAAUCCUAAUUCACUUGACUAUCUCAUUGGCCAGAAGCAGGCCCACACUUCCCAUUGAAAUCCUGAUAGGUUUAUGCUGGUUACAAUUGUUUUCAUUUUUAAAUAUAGUAUUGUUCUUUCAUUGUUGUUGUUUUGCACUACAAAUAAGACAUGUGCAGUGUGCAUAAGGAUUUUUUUUUUCUUUCUCCAAAUGAUAAUUCGGCCCCUCCACAGUCUGAAGGAUUGUGGACCGGCCCUCUGCUUUAAAAGUUUGAGGACCCCUGCACUGACCCAUGGAUAACCUAACGUAGGUUUUUGGGUUGAUUUUUGAUUAAAAGUUACGGACAUGAGCGUAUAGAAUAGAUGGGAUGCCAAUGAGAGGAUCCUAACAUAAGAUCAGCUACUUUCCUGGUACAUAUCUGAAGACAGAGAAAUACUGCUUGCUUCAGGAUUUCUUUGUUUUUUAUUAUGCCAUAUUUACAAAAUCCAUGGGGUUACCAUGCAUUGAGGGGUAACUUGAAGAUUCAUUCAUUCAUUCAAUCACACACACACACACACACACACACACACACACACACACACACACACACACACACAGAGUAUGCCAUUGCCCUACCUCAUUCUUAGUUCCAGUUUAAUAGAUUUGUUUUUGCUGGAUUAUUUGACUACAUUGACGUUACUAUUUGAACCUUCAAGGGUUAAGCUAACACCCCAUGUUAGAUGGGGCUAUUUAUUGUGACAUUGCUAUAUAAUUUGACUCUAGUAUAUGGUAUGUCAGGAGACGGGACUGAGGUCACUACAUCACUUUUCUUUAUUGUCCAGAAACAACACCCCCUUUGUCUUUAGACCAAUAAUGUGAAACUAGGGUCUUAUCUUUGUACAUUCAGCAAAGAGAUAUUGAAAGUAUCCAAGUCUGUUGCUUUUCUGUACUGGUCCGUUGUUUUAUAGCUUGGCCAAGGUCUCAUCACUACCGUAGCCUUUUAUGUGUCUUUCCCAUCAUUCCAGAAUCCAUAAAUUAAAGCUCAGACAAUAUAUCUGGCAAUUUUCCCAACAAGAGAAACUUAUGCUGCUUAUGAACAAAAUCAAAGAGAUUUUUCAUUUCAUACCCUGUUUCCCCUAAAAUAAGACAUCCCCGAAAAAUAAGACCUAGUAGAAGUUUUGCUGAAUUGCUAAAUAUAAGGCCUCCCCCGAAAGUAAGACCUAGCAAAGUUUUUGUUUGGAAGCAUGCCUGCUGAACAGAACACAAGAGCAUGCAGGAUUGGUAAAUAUACGUACAAUAGAUUGUUGUACUUGGAAAUAGUGGUAGUAACAAGAAAUUCUUGAUAGGAUUCACAGUUUGUCUGGUUAUGCUGGUUUGUGGUGACAACUACUGUACAGUGUAUAAUAAAUGUUCAGUUUUUGUUCAACAAUAAAUGUGAUUUCUUCUCCAUGGAAAAAUAAGACAUCCCCUGAAAAUAAGACCUAGCACAUCUUUGGGAGCAAAAAUUAAUAUAAGACACUGUCUUAUUUUCGGGGAAACACGGCAGGUCAGUCAGGUUUGUGGUUCUUCUUACACAGACAAUGCAAGUGUUUCCCUAUUUUGUUCUCGCAUGCUGGCUUAUUUUCUUCUUGCAUGUAUAUUUAUAUUAUACAAAUAUGCCAAAAUGUGAAUGUUUAAACAUGAGGGAAAGUGAUUUAUAGUGGAACAUGAUCUCUCAAGUGUUUUUCAAUAAAGUUUUGUAGACUUUGAAACAAAACAAAAUGAAAGAAAGCAAAUCUUUUGCAAGCCUGCUUACUGGAAGUCAAAAAUGUUUAUAUACUGCACUUAGAAUUGCAAUCCCUCUUCAGCACUAUCUGACAAAAAGAAAUUGUCUGCUGCCAGGGGCAGAUUAACCUUAAGGAAUUAUUCAUGCUCAAGUAUUAUCCUAUAUUUUUUCACUUGGCAUUUCAGACACAUGUAGAUUUUUUUAAAGUCCCUUUAAGAUCAGCAUUGGUCAUAUUGCUCUUGAGAUGGCGUGGAUAUCCCCAAGGUUUUGUGAUAUAUGUCCAAGUUUCUAAACACAAUUUUUAUGAAUUUGAGGUCUAAUUCUGUCAAUUGCUACAAGAUACACCAUGCUAUACUUAAUUGCAUUAGAUUAAAUAAGAACACCUUUGAACUUGGGGUGCAUCUACAAUGUAGAAUUAGUGCAGUGUGACAUCACUUUAACUGUGCCAUGGAAUCAUGAGAGUUGUAGUUUGGUGAGGUACCAGCACUCUUUGGCACAGACGGCCAAAGACCCUGCAAAACUACAAUUGCCAUGGUCCCAUAUGGUAACACUGAGUCAUGAUAGUUAAAUGAUGUAAAACUGCAUUAAUUCUACAGUGUAGGCCCAUCCUAGGUUUUACAAAAUUUUCAGAGGUCUUCCCUUACAAUUUGUCUGUAAAGAUACACAGCAAUUACAGCAUGAUACAGUAGUAGCUAUGGCAACAUCUCUUCCGAAUAGCCAAUCAAAUUAGGCACACAAAAGCAUAGCCAUGUGCACAUAAUAAUUGUUGCAUACUCUCUCAAAGGAUUUAAUUCCUUGUAUUGAAUUAAUGGUCCAACUGCGUAAGCAGGCAAAGAAAUGAUUGAAAUCCAACGUUGUUGUUCACACCAAGACAGUCAUCUAACUUGCUACAGACACUCACUAGGAAAAAAAUGGCCAUCAUUUCCUGCCCUUAUUUAUUAUUUAUCUUUUACCAUCAACAUCCACCCUCCAGGGCAUAGCUAUAACAAAUGCAGCUUUAGUAAAGCUGAAAACUGUAGGAAAUCUUUUUUUAAAACAACAACCCUUUACUGUAUAGCCUUCACAUAUUUCACAUUUAUAUGAAUGUGGUAUAACAAUAAGCACUGGUCUAAACAUGACAACAUGCUACACAGCAAAUUAAAAAGUCCACUGAUCAUGUAGAUCCUUAAGACAUUAGGCUACAUAUUCUAUUGACCUGUAUUGCUUAACUCCUUUUUCCUUCUUACACACUGUUAAACCCUUGUGCUGGUAGACUGCUGACAUGAAGGUUGCCCGUUCGAAUCCAACCCGGGGAGAGCAUGGAUGAGCUCCCUCUGUCAGCUUCAGCUCCAUGCGAGGACAUGUGAGAAGCCUCCCACAAGGAUGGUAAAAACAUCAAACAUCCAGGUAUCCCCUGGGCAAUGUCCUUGCAGAUGGCCAAUACUCUCACACCAGAAGCAACUUGCAGUUUCUCAAAUUGCUCCUGACACAAACAAAAAGUGGAGGUGGGGGCAAAUUGUUUCUAAAGUGUUUCUAAAAUAUCGUAAGAGCGUUGCAUUGUUACUAUAAGGAUAUAAUGAAAUUUUCGUUACUUUUUCAUUAUGUAAUUGCGCAAGUGGGGAAGCUUUCGGGGCUCCUUUCUCCCUCAUUUUUAGAACUAUCAGGAUGAAACUUGCUAUAAUGGUAGAACACAUUUACCACUGUUACCUCCCCCCCCCUCCUAGUUUCAGAAUGUUUCACACUGCCACUGAUUUUUGGGGAUUUUAAAAAGUUUUUGUGAUCAACAUUAACAAUACCUACAAGAGCUAUCUCCUUGAAUUUCUAUGUUCAAUGAUACAGCAUAAACAGGGCAUCAUUCCCCUCAAGUUUCAGAAAGAUUUGCACAUCCACUGAUUUUUAGCUAAUUUUAACCAACUUAACUUCACAGUACUAUUUCACUGGAAGACCCUUGGGGCCACCCAGUCCAACCCCCUUCUGCCAGGCCGGAAAAGCACAAAGCACCUCCAACAGAUGCCUGUCCAGCCUUUGAAACAAUAAUAAUAAUAAUAAUAAUAAUAAUAAUAAUAAUAAUAAUAAUAAUAAUAAUAAUAGGAAAUUUACUAGGUAAACUUGGGUAGUUACUGCCUCUCAACUUUGCCCACCUGAAAGGGUUUAUUUGAUUCCCAACAAUCCUCCUUUAUCUCAAAAUCCCUUAGGAGAAUGAACCCCAGAAAUUUCAGAGAGAAAUUCUGUGAAAUGUAGUUUCAGAAGGUGAGUCCCUCUAUGAUAGAGAAUUCAAAAGGCCCCACCCUAAACUACAUUUCCCAGAAUUUUCAUUUCAGAAUACUGGAGCUGCCCACGUUAAAACCUCAAUAUGAGUGUGGUCUCUGCCUGUCUCUCUCUGGGUUGGUCAUGUGCUUGCUUGGCCAUCCAGCCAGGCCUCUCUCUUUCCCUCCCUCCCUCCUGCCUGCCCCAGACCCCCUUGCCACCCCCUUUAGGGAAAGAGUGGGGCUUCUCCCUUGACUCCAGGCUUCACUAUCCUCCUUGGUGCUUUUUGGGGGACCCAAACCCAGCCCUUUUGGGGGAGAAGCAGUGCCCGCAAGAGAGACUUGGAACCACUUACGAGACUUACAUAACUCUUCUGAAAAGUCAUAGGUGAGUAUUUUGAAUCUUACAUUUUGUUCAUGGGCGCCCCUUGCAUUUCUUAAUAUUGCAUCAUAUGUAUGAAUCUUAUGAAAUAGAUACGAGAAAUGGCGCACAAAGUUUUGCACAACCCUACUGAUUAGUAAGUAAAUGUGUAUAUAUGUGUGCUUUCAAUUUGCCUUUCAAUUUAUGGCGAUUCCAUGAACUUCAUAAGGUUUUCUCCGGCAAGGAAUAUUCAGAGAUGGUUUGGCCAAUUCUUUCAUCGGAAAUACAGCCAAUAGCACGGUAACUGUCAAGAUCAGGUGGGAUCUGGUGCCUUUAAGGUGUUUUGGUCUCUAGUAAUUAAGUAUCUCUUAUAUGGUACUUUGAGCCCCAGGUGGCACAGUGGGUUAAACCACUGAGCUGCUGAACUUGCUGACUGAAAGGUCACUGUUUCAAAACCGGGGAGCUUCUGCUGUUAGCCCCAGCUUCUGCCAACCUAGCAGUUCGAAAACAUGCAAAUCUGAGUAGAUCAAUUACUGGUGGAAAGAUAAUGGUGCUCCAUGCAGUCAUGCUGGCCACAUGACCUUGGAGGUGCCUACAGACAACGCUGGCUCUUCGGCCUAGAAAUGGAGAUGAGCAUCAACCCCCAGAGUCAGACACGACUAGACUUAAUGUCAGGGGAAAUCCUUUACCUUUACCUUAUAUGGUACUUAUUUAAUGGACAUGAAGAAAAUGGGUACUUGGAUGUUCAUUUGUGCUGCUGGAUGUAAACGUGAUUGCAGGAUGGACACUUGUUCGUGUAGAAUACAAACUUUUCUAGCCAUUCCUCCAUGUCCUCUUCACUACUGAGUAUCACAAAAUUGUCACAAUUCUUCAUAAUUAGUCCACUGAUGCUCAGGCUUAUCUGGAUUGGAGAUCCUGCCAUGUUCAGCGAAUUAAAGGAAAUAUUACCUACAGCUUGGCUCUAAGAAUCAAACAUAUCUGUUACACUGAAGAAAAUCUGUGAAAGGACCAACAAACUCAAGCAAGAUCUGCUACAAAGGGACUAUCCUUUUCACAAAAUUCAGCCAGCUCUUCUGCCUGGUUUCCUGAUACUAGAGCAAAGUUUCCCGCAAUUUUUGGGUCUGUGUACACUGUAGAAUUAAAACUGUUUGAUGCCACUUUAACUCCUACCACUCAAUGAAGCAAAAUCAUGUGAGUUGUACCUUUAUCAGGCCCUCUGUUAAAGAGGACGGGUGCUUCACUAAAUUACGAAUCCUAGGAGCUGCGGGAGUUAAAAUGUUAUCAAAAUGCAUUAACCCUACGGUGUAGAUUUUUGCAUUCUAAUUAUCUAUAAUUAACAAUAACACCUGCUUUGGUGCAUGGUCAAUUUUUACCUGAAUUUCAGCACAAAAUCUUUAAAGUGCUUCUUUUUCUUCUGCCUCUGUAGUUGCAGCAUAAACUUGGAUUAUGGUUGUAUUGAUGUGUUUUCUCUGAAGUCGUAUUGAUAUUAUUUAGUCAGACUUUGUGUUAUAUCUUUGACUGUUUUCACUUAAUCUCUCACUAGUAAUCCUUCCAUUGAUGGAUGUAAUCUUAAAAAUACAGUACUCUUUCAGGUGUGAUUGUUUUUUUUAAUAUAAAAUAAGUAUAUGCUAUUAUCUUUACAUUAUUACAAAUAUUCCAUUUUAAUUUGCAUGUAAAGCUUUGGAUGUAUUAGAAUAGUGUAUUUAAAUAAAAUGUGCUAAAUCAGAUAAUAUUAUUUAAAGAACUGGCAAAUGUUUGGAAAAUGCACAUCACUGUUAGCAACUCUAUUGUAUCAUCCUCCUUAGUAACUUAAUCUAAUGCAAAGCUUUCAGUUCCUUUAAAAAUUUAUUGUUAAUUAUUUCUGUACUGCAGGCCCUAGUUAGUGAGUCAUAUAUUGAUUUGCGGUACUGCAUUGUAAAAGCCCGAAGACACCAAAGUAGGGCAGGAUUUAAACUAAAGCUAUUGUUGGAAGGGGAGAAAUUAAAUGAAACCCAUACUUUUAAAUGCGCAGUAGACAAUAUUCACUGUAUGGCAUGUCAGUAAUUCACUGUGCAGGAGAAACACAAAUUAAGUUGAAAUGUGGAUAAAACAUUUUUCAGGUUGCAGAACUACAGAGUUAAUCCUUUGCUGGAGGCUGAGGCUGGGAAGGGGGAAAGACACAUUUGUCAGGAUAUAGAAAUCUAUUGCUCUGUCAGGUCAAGAUGUGGGACAGAAAUUUCUCUUCGGAGAGGAAUUAGACCAAGUGAAGAAGACCUAAAGAAAUAGUUUCAGAAAAUAGGAUUAAUAAUUAAAAUGAUAUGCAGUUUUAUACUUCUGGGCAUGAUCUGGUAAAAUUACUGAGAUUCAGGACGCAAGUGUGGGGAAGUAGCAUGGAUUAAGACGACCCUAGGCUUCUAACUAAAGUUAUACAAGGAAAAAGUCAUAGCUAAAUUGUAGCUUGGAAAUGUUUAUAUAAAAUUAUUUCUCUGGAUCUUUAUCCAUACAGGAGGAUCUGGUAAGAUGUGCUGCAAAUGCAAUGCUACACCGGGCAUGCCUUUUUGGAAAUGGCUCCAGAAUCCCUAUGGGCUUUCACUAAGCACAGAUGGAAGAAGCGAUAUACAGUAGAGUCUCAUCCAACAUAAACGGGCCGGCAGAACGUUGGAUAAGCGAAAAUGUUGGAUAAUAUGGAGGGAUGAAGGAAAAGCCUAUUAAAUGGCAAAUUACGUUAUGAUUAUGCAAAUUAAGCACCAAAACAUCAUGUCUUACAACAAAUCAACAGAAAAAGCAGUUCAAUACACGGUAAUGUUAUGUUAAUUACUGUAUUUACAAAUUUAUCACUGAAACAUUGCAGUGUAUUGAAAACAUUGACUACAAAAACAUUGACUACUAACAAAUUGACUGAAAAUAAAGAUAGAAUUCUAUAAAAUGAACUUAUAGUAACAACAUUGUUAGAAGUAAAAUCCCUAAAAAGUUCAGUCCUUGCUGCCUAGAGAAACAGCUGUGGAUCUGGGCAGGAGGCAGACUGUGUUGGAUAAUCCAGAACGUUGGAUAAGUGAAGGUUGGAUAAGUGAAACUCUACUGUAAUACGGCCCUAAAUUGGCAAGCAAGAACAUGGACCUCAAGGUCCCAGUUAAAGUGUCAGCAGACCCCAUCAUCCCAGUGACAAUGGAAGCCAGCCUCGCUGCUAUAUUUUACUGCACCCAAAACAUAGGUGUGUAGUCUCUGUCCUUCAGCAUGCAUUCUACGAAUGAAGAACAGGGCCUAAUAUUGCACUUCUAUACACACUAUUGAGGACCUUACUGAGUUUAGUAGCACUUAUUGCUGAAAAGGCACAUAGGAUGGUAGAGUAUAGUUAUUAUUUGUAUAGCAGUAAUGAUAAAUUCAUAUUAAGGAGCCAAAAAUAUAAGAAACCUAAAAAUAAAAGAGCCUUAAAAAGACUAUAAUAAUAAGUUAUUUGGUUUUUCAGACUAGGGGUGCAUCUACACUGUAGAAUGAAUGCAGUUUGACACCACUUUAACUGCCAUGGUUUAAAGAUUAUGGAUUAUGGAAUUACAUAAUAGUCUUUAGACUUUGGCAGCUCUCUGCCAAAGAGAGCUGGUGCCUCACCAAACUACAAAUCCCAGGAUUCCAUACAUGAGCACAAUAAAAUUGCAGAAUGAGGUUUAAAUAAAUACUACAUCAACAAAACUACUGUGAAAUAAGGAAAAAAUAUAAUUUAGUCAUAAACAGCAUACAGCAGAUUUCUUGAUUACUGGCUGUUUUCUGGCCCAAGUGUGGAUUAAUUUAAACUAGUUUUCAGAUGGUCAUUUCUAAGAAAACAAAUGAUGGAUUUCAGAGCUAUUUUAGACCAUUUGCCCCCAAUUCCACUCUCCUAUAAUCCCUACUGCAUGGAUUUGGAUUAUUGCAUAGCACCAGAGGCACUCUUCACACACUUCAGAAUAUUCUGAUUUUAUUCUCUUGGAUAUUUAAUUUAUACCCCAGAUUUCUACUGGUAUGUAAUUGAUUAUGAUGAUUGCUAUCUUCCUUUUUUAAACUAUUCAAGGCCUGAGUUCAAAAUGGCAUUUCCCCCACCUGAUAAGGACAAAGAUGAAGAAACACUUGUGAAGAAGAACAGGAAUUGUCAGGGGGAAUGACUAGGAUUUUCAAAACAAACAUUUGUUUCUCAUUUCCAUGAAAGUUCUCAGGGCCUCUGCCUCAUCACACCAGAGCAUGGAUCCACUUUAAAUCCGGUUUAUGGGAGUUGAAGUCUGGAAACACCUGGAGGGCCCAAGUUUGCCCAUUCCUAGUCUAUACCAUAGAAUUAUUGUAGUUUGGCACCAAACUACAUUAAGCUAGGGCUCAAUGCUAUGGAAUCCUGGGGCAAUCCAAUUAGUUUGCUGAGGGAUCAGCGCUCUUUAGCAGAGAAGGCUCAAGCCCUUGUAAAGCUACAACUUCCAUGAUUCCAUAACAUUUGAGCCAGGGAAGUCGAAGUGGUGGUUAUUUCAGGGAACAAUAAUAUAGUAAUAACUUUAUUUUUGUAUCCCACCUCCAUCUCUCCAAGGGGACUUGGAGAGGCUUACAUGGGGAUGAGCCCGGGCAACAUCAUAGAAUAUCAUCACAUUAAAAUACAUACACAGUAUCAUAAAACAGAAUAAAACAACAACAAUUAUAAACAACAUAGCAGUUGUGAUAGAAUGAAACCAAUAAUCGCUGAGCCUGUAAUAAAGUCCAUUUCUAGGCAUGGAUGGGUGGGCCGGCACAACUCACUUCUGAAAAUAGGGCUAAUGGAUAAAGUGCAUAAGUCUGAUGAGUAGUGGUGAGCAACGUAAGAUGGGGAAUAAUAUUAUUGGGUAGAGAACAACAGUAAAGUGCAAGGACAGGUUAUUUAGGGGGUUGUCUAGUCCAGGGGUCCUCAAAUUUUUUAAGUGGAGGGCCAGUUCAUGGUCCCUCAGACUGUUGCAAGCACAACUGGUGGGGAUGAGAGACAGGGCCUACUCAGUGGUGGCUCCUUGGCUGCGGAACUCCCUCCCCAGCAACAUCCGGCAGGCUCCAUCCCUUCUGGGCUUUAGAAAGAAGCUAAAGACCUGGUUAUGCACACAAGCGUUCAACGAAUAAAUUUCACAGCUUCGACACGGCCUGGUUCACAGAUUAUGUGCAAGGUUUUUGGACGAAUGGAUUUAUGCACUUUAUAUGUCUUAAGUUUUGUUGAUUGUUUCGUGUGUUUUAAUGCCUAAUUGCUUUUAUUGCUUGAUGUUUUUAUUCUAUUGUUGCUUUAUUAGCAAUUAAUCUUGCCAGAUCUGAAAGCUCCCUUGAGUCCCCUUGGUUGAGAAGGGCGGGAUAGAAAUGACGUAAAUAAUAAUAAUAAUAAUAAUAAUAAUAAUAAUAAUAAUAAUAAUAAUAAUAAUAGCAUAUCUAUCUUGUUUGCUGUGUCAUAAUAAAAUAAUAAAAAAUAAUAAUGAGUAAACCAGGUUUUUUUAAAAACCUGAAAAAAUGGGGAGGGGAUCGAACCCUUAACCCCCCCCCCCCCUUGACUACAGCCCUGUCUACACUGUAGAAUUAAUCCAGUUGGACUGCUCUGGCUCAGUGCUAUUAGAAUCCAGGGAGAGGAGGCUUAACAAGGCGCUUGGCCAUCUCUGUCCAAAAGAGUGACCCAACACCAGCGCUCAGUAUCCCAUAACACUGUGCCUUGCUUUGAAUUGUUGAAGGUUUUCAUGGCCAGAAUCACAGAGUUGUGUUUUCCGGACUGUAUGGCCAUGUUCCAGAAAUAUUUUCUCCUAACGUUUUGCCCACAUCUAUGGCAGGCAUCCCCAGAGGUUGUGAGAUAUAUGGAGAAACUAAGCAAGGAAUGUUUAUAUAUCUGUGGAAGUUUCAGGGUGGGGAAAAGAGCUCUUGUCUGUUGGAGGCCAGUGUGAAUGUUGUAAUUAAUCACAUUGAUUAGCAUUAAAUGGCCUUCCAAGCUUCAAA
Anolis carolinensis (green anole) is the source of this 27102-nucleotide long non-coding RNA. RefSeq lists it as uncharacterized. Lineage: Eukaryota; Metazoa; Chordata; Lepidosauria; Squamata; Anolidae. The transcript has 5 exons. The record is from RefSeq and is a predicted model, not a curated record.